RNAcentral lists this ribosomal RNA (465 nucleotides) under Vreelandella stevensii. RNAcentral's name for it is "partial 16S ribosomal RNA". It matches the Rfam family "Bacterial small subunit ribosomal RNA", at positions 338 to 795 of the family's 1533-position model. The record is from RNAcentral. Lineage: Bacteria; Pseudomonadati; Pseudomonadota; Gammaproteobacteria; Oceanospirillales; Halomonadaceae.
CCUACGGGGGGCUGCAGUGGGGAAUAUUGGACAAUGGGCGAAAGCCUGAUCCAGCCAUGCCGCGUGUGUGAAGAAGGCCUUCGGGUUGUAAAGCACUUUCAGUGGGGAAGAAAGCCUUGGGGCUAAUACCCUCGAGGAAGGACAUCACCCACAGAAGAAGCACCGGCUAACUCCGUGCCAGCAGCCGCGGUAAUACGGAGGGUGCGAGCGUUAAUCGGAAUUACUGGGCGUAAAGCGCGCGUAGGCGGUCUGAUAAGCCGGUUGUGAAAGCCCCGGGCUCAACCUGGGAACGGCAUCCGGAACUGUCAGGCUAGAGUGCAGGAAGGGAAGGUAGAAUUCCCGGUGUAGCGGUGAAAUGCGUAGAGCUCGGGAGGAAUACCAGUGGCGAAGGCGGCCUACUGGACUGACACUGACGCUGAGGUGCGAAAGCGUGGGUAGCAAACAGGAUUAGAUACCCCAGUAGUC